Vidua macroura (Pin-tailed whydah) is the source of this 370-nucleotide long non-coding RNA. RefSeq lists it as uncharacterized. The transcript has 3 exons. Lineage: Eukaryota; Metazoa; Chordata; Aves; Passeriformes; Viduidae. The record is from RefSeq and is a predicted model, not a curated record.
CUGUAGUCUGUAUUGAGUAGCCUGUACCACACUGCCUUUCCUUGCAGCUAUCUCCCAUCCUUCAGAACCACCUUCCUUGCUCUGUCCCUGGACUUUCUGCAGGGCCCAGUCACCCACUGCUUAACUGGCCAGAAAUGGAUAAUAAAAAAGUAUACUAUAGAGAUUACUGAUAAUAGAGAUACUGAUAAUUAAAAGACUGCAGCUAAUUAGCCUGAGAGUCACUAAGAUGGUUGGUACCACAGGCUAUAAACCCUGGUCAGUCACCUGGGAUAGGAACUGAGCUCUUUGCUUAAUCUCUUCUCCACUAUAAAUGAGGGGACAGAAGAGUUCAUGGUGAGAGUUCUCCCUUGAAGUCUAAUCUGGUGAGUAA